UGAUCAAUCUUGGUUUAGUGAUUCUGGUAAAUCUCAGUUUACUGAGUCUUAUCAGACUCAGUAUAGAGUCUGGUCAAUCUCUGCAGUCCACAUGUUAGCCUGAAAGAAAAACAGGUAUUAGAAGCCUGUCUUAAUAGCUGCUAUUACAUCAAUGGUCAUGUCAUUGGUUAAUCUCCUGUAUUUUACAGCAGACUGUAAAAUGCUUAUACUUUAGGGAUUUAUAUGUCCUGGAGGAUUUAUGGAUGACCAUUAUUGAGUUUAUACAUAAAUGAUAAGGGAGUGCUGUAACUGCAUUAUGCAAGUACAAUAAACCAGUGUUGUUAUAUUGUAGUUGGUUAGCUACAGAUGUUUACUGUAUCAGAUAAAGCAUGUAUGUGUCUGCCUAAUUUUCUGAUGUCAUUUGUCACCUAUGCCAGACUUGUUUUGCAUUACUGUGCAAAUUUUGUGAUAAUUUAUGUCAUUGUCAUAAUAAUGUCUCUGAAAGGAGACCAUACUUUCAGUUCAGUGUAAAUGUACUUGUUUUACUGUUACUAAGGAACCUAGUUUAGCUUGAAAGGUUGCUAUUCUUAUUUUGCUAAUACCAUAAUUACAUGUAUGUUUCUCAAAAGUAGACCAUACUACAUUUAUUUUGGUCUUUGACAGUGCUCUCUUUCAAAGUGGAUCAUGUAACAAUAGUGCUAAAGAACAGAAUUAUUUUAUUUUAAAGAACAUUCAUUAACUAUAAAAAUGAUAUACAGUAGAUAUGUAUAGCCAUGAACCCUAAUUAUGUAGACAAUUUUCUAGCUUAUAAUGUAACCAUUUAUUCUUGUUUCACUGAAAUGUGAACAUAGAUUAUACAAGUAGUAUGAAACUGAAAAUAUUGACUGAUCAGAGGUCCAACAUACUCCAAGAUCGAUAAUGUAAUAAAAAAAAAUGCUUGACCACCAUUGUGGUAUUUCUUAAUUAUAAAUGAAAUUUCAGUCAAUACUUGCUUAACAUUGGUUAAUCUAAGACAUUCUGUUUUUUGCUGACUGUGUUAAAUUAACAUUAUAUACAUAUUAACAAAAGGUAGACAGACAGAAGGGCAGGCAGUAUGGUGACCACUUGCCUUCCUUUGAAGCAUAGAGCGGUUUUAUUUUACAAAAUGUUAUGUGAAAGUUUUGUCAAUACUUAUCUUAAGAGCUAGAUCCUAGAUGAUGGUUUCUUUGCGGACAACAGGGGAACGAUAUGACAUAAUGUUUAGUUUACAUUGUAUAAAUGUUGACACUAGGGAAGUCUGUUUGCAUCCUUGAUUACAAUCACUUACAUUUGUAGUCCUUAAUGUGACAUUAAGAUAUGUUUUCUUGUGGCAUGUGCCAUAGAAAUAGUUACAACUUCCUGUUAUUUAGCCCGAUUUGCCAACACUGUCAAAAAAAGGCCUUUCUGUAAUGUUUGUAAACAGAUGAACAUUGCAAAUGAAUAUCAUUUGUAUUCAGAAAUCAGCUGACAGAAUUUCCUGGAUUAUGAUGCUAUGUUGCAAUUUCAUUUUACAAUUUUGAGUACAAUAUUUUCUAAGUAUUGUAGGAAAAUGUAUGGAAUAACCCAUAACAAGCUAAAUAUCUUUAAUGGACUUUUCUAUCCGUCAAACUGGAAUGUUUGGGAUUAGUGAAUAGUACAGGCCAGGAUCAUGCAGAACAGAUGUGCCGGCUGAUCUUGGCCUCUACUGGUGACAAGGGCAUAAUAUAUUCCUGACUUUUGGCUAAGUUGAAGGUAAAGUGGCACAGAGCUACGUAACCCGAUCAGAUAUGCUUUGACAAGAACCAAUCACAGUAAGAAAAAGAAGAUGAAAGACAUUCUAACAGUUGUCAUAUUGUAAACUAGAUUAAACCAUCAGUAGAAAAUAGGUCUUUUUGUUGUUUUGAGGUAAUUUCAAUUAGGAUCAAUAAAUAUAGUCUCAGUUACUGUUGGGUUCUUCUCAUGGCUUGAUUAAUUAAACUUGAUCCUGCUGAAUUUGUGUAAUUAUCUUGCCCUGCUUUGAAUUUUGAACUGUCUGUUAUUGUGUGGGAUUUCAGUGUCGAAAAUGUUGAAAUCCCACACUUUCCAGCAAAGUGUCUGAUCAGAUUGCAGGGAGAGGAUCAAGAUGAGCAUUUUAUUUAUUUAUCUUUUUUUUAACAAAAUGAUCCUCUUUGAAUUUUUCAGUGAAGAGUCAUGAAGGUUGGCUGCUACACAAGCUUAAGCAAAGAAGUUCAUCCAAUAAUGUAAUGAAAAGUUUGUCAUAUGAUGAAUAUUGGUAGCCAUUGAAAGAUGUGAUUAUAUCAAGAUAUUGAUGGUAUCCAUUGAAUGAUGUGUGCAGAUAAAAUCAUUUGGAUUUUGAGAUGUGAUGACAGCUGAUGAAGCAAAGACACAGCAGGGGUAAAAAUGUGGAACAUUACAAACAUUCUUCAUUAUAUUCACGUUUUUAGACUUUGUGGAACCUUGUUUAUGGAAUUGAUUGAAAUGAUGUGAAUGGCCAGUCAAGAGGGCUUCCUGUGGUAGAAAGUUGUUAGUAUUGCCCUGAAUGUUGGAUUGGUGUACCAUAAAUGUGCAAAGUGACUCCUACGCCGUUUGUAUUGAGUGUUUCAGAUGAAAUGAUUAUGUACCUGGUUGCCAUUAGAUUUAAAUUAGCUCAAAGAACAAGAAUUAAAUAGGUUAUACAUAAGAUGAUCAAUAGACUGAUAGAAAAGAAAAUUCAUCUAGAAACAGUAAAUUUUUCUGGAAUAGGAUUUUAGAAAUUUUUGUGUGAGCAUCAUCAGAGAGGAUUCAGAGAUAAAAAUUCUGUUACAGGGAAAAUGACCAAAAAUGAAAAA
Ruditapes philippinarum (Manila clam) is the source of this 2804-nucleotide long non-coding RNA. RefSeq lists it as uncharacterized. The transcript has 6 exons. The record is from RefSeq and is a predicted model, not a curated record. NCBI's taxonomy places the organism in Eukaryota, Metazoa, Mollusca, Bivalvia, Venerida, Veneridae.